RNAcentral lists this ribosomal RNA (229 nucleotides) under uncultured bacterium. Its description in RNAcentral is "partial 16S ribosomal RNA". It matches the Rfam family "Bacterial small subunit ribosomal RNA", at positions 107 to 334 of the family's 1533-position model. The record is from RNAcentral.
UGAGUAACACGUAUCCAACCUGCCGUCUACUCUUGGCCAGCCUUCUGAAAGGAAGAUUAAUCCAGGAUGGCAUCAUGAGUUCACAUGUCCGCAUGAUUAAAGGUAUUUUCCGGUAGACGAUGGAGAUGCGUUCCAUUAGAUAGUAGGCGGGGUAACGGCCCACCUAGUCAACGAUGGAUAGGGGUUCUGAGAGGAAGGUCCCCCACAUUGGAACUGAGACACGGUCCAA